UUAGCUCAUUUUUGUAUGGAAUGGGAUCGUUUGCGUACGUUUGCCGCUAGGGGCGCUGUUCCAGCUGCUUACAAAAUUUGAUUA
RNAcentral lists this microRNA precursor (84 nucleotides) under Bombyx mori (domestic silkworm). Its description in RNAcentral is "mir-2807 microRNA precursor family". It matches the Rfam family "mir-2807 microRNA precursor family". The record is from Rfam by way of RNAcentral. Lineage: Eukaryota; Metazoa; Arthropoda; Insecta; Lepidoptera; Bombycidae.